Molecule: ribosomal RNA, 390 nt
Filed under: uncultured Chrysophyceae
Lineage: Eukaryota; Chrysophyceae
Description: partial small subunit ribosomal RNA
Rfam family: Eukaryotic small subunit ribosomal RNA
Source: RNAcentral
GCUUGUCUCAAAGAUUAAGCCAUGCAUGUCUAAGUAUAAACGACUUUAUACUGUGAAACUGCGAAUGGCUCAUUAUAUCAGUUAUAGUUUAUUUGAUGGUCCUUGCUACUUGGAUAACCGUAGUAAUUCUAGAGCUAAUACAUGCAUUAAACACUGACUUCUGGAAGGGGUGUAUUUAUUAGAUGGAAACCAAUGCGGGGUAACCCGGAAUAUGGUGAUUCAUAAUUAUUUUCGGAUCGAUUUAUCGAUGCAUCAUUCAAGUUUCUGCCCUAUCAGCUUUGGAUGGUAGGGUAUUGGCCUACCAUAGCUUUAACGGGUAACGGAGAAUUAGGGUUCGAUUCCGGAGAGGGAGCCUGAGAAAUGGCUACCACAUCCAAGGAAGGCAGCAGG